UUGUAGAACCGUAAUGCCAUUAAUUUGGUGUUGCGGGGAAACAGGACUGUUACUUUGAAAAAAUUAGAGUCGUUUAAAGCAGGCCAACGCCUGAAUACAUUAGCAUGGAAUAAUGAAAUAGGACGUUCGAACCUAUCUUGUUGGUUUCUAGGAUUGACGUAAUGAUUAAUAGGGAUAGUUGGGGGCAUUAGUAUUCAAUUGUCAGAGGUGAAAUUCUUGGAUUUAUUGAAGACUGACUACUGCGAAAGCAUUUGCCAAGGAUGUUUUCAUUAAUCAAGAACGAAAGUUAGGGGAUCGAAGACGAUCAGAUACCGUCGUAGUCUUAACCAUAAACUAUGCCGACUAGGGAUCGGAUGAUGUUAUUUUUAUAGAGCCUCUCUC
Molecule: ribosomal RNA, 381 nt
Filed under: uncultured Glomeromycotina
Lineage: Eukaryota; Fungi; Glomeromycota
Description: SSU rRNA
Rfam family: Eukaryotic small subunit ribosomal RNA
Source: RNAcentral